Molecule: non-coding RNA, 382 nt
Organism: Cucurbita pepo subsp. pepo (vegetable marrow)
Lineage: Eukaryota; Viridiplantae; Streptophyta; Magnoliopsida; Cucurbitales; Cucurbitaceae
Source: RefSeq, a predicted model, not a curated record
CGGCUCCACCAGCGGCUCGGCUAGGUCGGCUCGGCUGUGCGGCUUGGCGGCGCGGCUCAGUGGCUCGACAUCCGAAUAGCAUACCGGUUUCUAGGUUUUUGACCCUUCUGGAGCCAUUCCCACCCUUGUUUCAGCCAUCUGAGGAGGUAGUUAGGCGCUGGAGUUAGCAUUGUGGGUGACUUCGGCCAAGGCCAAGGAGGUAAGUAACCUUACUGUUGGCGUUAGUUUUGUAUGUAUGUUGGUGCGUGCCCUGUGGCCCUUGCAUGCACCAUAUGUUGUUGCUGUAUGCUAGGUUAGAUGUUUCUUGCCGUGAAAUGCUAUGCAUGCUUUGUUUAUGUAUGUGAUUCUUGCAGUGAAUUGCUAUGUAUGCCAUGUUUAUGAA